RNAcentral lists this ribosomal RNA (465 nucleotides) under uncultured Klebsiella sp. RNAcentral's name for it is "bacterial SSU rRNA". It matches the Rfam family "Bacterial small subunit ribosomal RNA", at positions 338 to 795 of the family's 1533-position model. Lineage: Bacteria; Pseudomonadati; Pseudomonadota; Gammaproteobacteria; Enterobacterales; Enterobacteriaceae. The record is from RNAcentral.
CCUACGGGUGGCAGCAGUGGGGAAUAUUGCACAAUGGGCGCAAGCCUGAUGCAGCCAUGCCGCGUGUGUGAAGAAGGCCUUCGGGUUGUAAAGCACUUUCAGCGGGGAGGAAGGCGGUGAGGUUAAUAACCUCAUCGAUUGACGUUACCCGCAGAAGAAGCACCGGCUAACUCCGUGCCAGCAGCCGCGGUAAUACGGAGGGUGCAAGCGUUAAUCGGAAUUACUGGGCGUAAAGCGCACGCAGGCGGUCUGUCAAGUCGGAUGUGAAAUCCCCGGGCUCAACCUGGGAACUGCAUUCGAAACUGGCAGGCUAGAGUCUUGUAGAGGGGGGUAGAAUUCCAGGUGUAGCGGUGAAAUGCGUAGAGAUCUGGAGGAAUACCGGUGGCGAAGGCGGCCCCCUGGACAAAGACUGACGCUCAGGUGCGAAAGCGUGGGGAGCAAACAGGAUUAGAUACCUGUGUAGUC